UUUAUGGAGAGUUUGAUCCUGGCUCAGGAUGAACGCUGGCGGCGUGCCUAAUACAUGCAAGUCGAGCGAACAGAUAAGGAGCUUGCUCCUUUGACGUU
This 98-nucleotide ribosomal RNA is filed under the name Staphylococcus pasteuri. RNAcentral describes it as "partial 16S ribosomal RNA". It matches the Rfam family "Bacterial small subunit ribosomal RNA", at positions 1 to 92 of the family's 1533-position model. Lineage: Bacteria; Bacillati; Bacillota; Bacilli; Caryophanales; Staphylococcaceae. RNAcentral also lists the same sequence under 1 other name. The record is from RNAcentral.